RNAcentral lists this ribosomal RNA (425 nucleotides) under uncultured bacterium. Its description in RNAcentral is "bacterial SSU rRNA". It matches the Rfam family "Bacterial small subunit ribosomal RNA", at positions 355 to 776 of the family's 1533-position model. The record is from RNAcentral.
UGGGGAAUAUUGCGCAAUGGGCGAAAGCCUGACGCAGCCACGCCGCGUGUGCGAUGAAGGUCUUCGGAUCGUAAAGCACUGUGGGGAGAGAAGAAACAAGCCGGUGAAGAGCCGGCCCUGACGGUAUCUCCUUAGCAAGCACCGGCUAACUCCGUGCCAGCAGCCGCGGUAAUACGGAGGGUGCAAACGUUGCUCGGAAUCAUUGGGCGUAAAGCGCACGUAGGCGGCCUAUCAAGUCGGAUGUGAAAGCCCUGGGCUCAACCCCGGAAGUGCAUCCGAAACUGACAGGCUUGAAUGCCGGAGGGGCCCAGAGAAUUCCCGGUGUAGAGGUGAAAUUCGUAGAUAUCGGGAGGAAUACCAGUGGCGAAGGCGCUGGGCUGGACGGCGAUUGACGCUGAGGUGCGAAAGCGUGGGGAGCAAACAGG